ACAAGAGUCAGACACUGUAAUUGGGAGAACCUGAAUAUGGUAACUGGGGUGUUCCCUUCUUAAGGGAACCUAUUUUCCACACCCAAAUUGAUCCUGUAAGGUUGUUAUCUUAUAAUGCACAUGUUGAGUGGUGCUGUAAGGCCUCAGGAUAUGAAAUAUCAUUAUGGGAUGUCAUACCCUAUCUUGAGGGACUGAACUAUCAAUAUGGGAUUAAUAUGGAAAAGAAAACCAGAUGACAAAAGUGAGAGAAUUGGAGUCUUCUAGACAUGGCUAUCUAUUUAUCAGAAUGAAAACACACAACAGGACUUGAUCAAACUUAGCAAAUAUGUGGAAGAUCAACACAGCACCAAAGAUAUCUUAUCAGAACUCAACAUGCUAAUUUUAAAUAGCAUCCUUAAAGCAUGAGAGAGAGCGUGUUAACUGUGACACAUUCCAGAAGACAUCACAGAGUAGAGGCAGUCUCAUCUGGACGGCUACCAAAAAUCAAAAAGUGGAAAUAGGAAUCAGAGAAAAGAAACCACCCCCAGCCUUCCAUUCAACAAAGACUUCAGAAGCUCCCAUUUAUCCAACAGUGCAUUAAUCAUUAAGAGUCUAAUAUUACAUAAUACCAUCACUGGUUUUCAUGUACUGAAGUGGUUACUCUAUGAACAUAUAAAUACAGCCACUUGGCUUCUUAUCUUUUCAUGCCUUGUGACCGUUAGAUAUUUUUGUGAGCAUAAUCUACUGGGGAAAUGUUGUGUUUGAAAGAAUGGGAACUGACAUGAAAGCUUCAUUCAUAACAUUUGAUUAGUUACUGUUUAGUCACACAUACAAAUUGCCAACUUGCUAAGUGAUGAAUUAGGUGAUAUGUAAACUAGUCCACUUCUUCAGUAGCCUUGAAUGAGUGUUAUAGUUAGUACAAAUUUGUAUCAAAUCAUAGAAAUGUUCAUCCACAAUUCAUUAAUAGUAAUAGAUAAAAUAUUCCUGCUUUGUCAUGUGUUGUAUUUUGACUAAUGCUCUAUUUUUUAUGCCAACUCUCUGCUCAUUCUGAUAAUUUCAUGCCUGCUGUCAUAUUUUCAUCCUUUGUAUAAGAAACUUCCCCAAUUUACACAUGUUGAGCUCUUAUAUAUCCUAACAUUAAAACAUUCAAAAACCAG
Molecule: long non-coding RNA, 1136 nt
Organism: Anolis carolinensis (green anole)
Lineage: Eukaryota; Metazoa; Chordata; Lepidosauria; Squamata; Anolidae
Exons: 3
Source: RefSeq, a predicted model, not a curated record